GGGUCCUGACACUCCCCCUCCCCUGUCUCUCCUCCUCUCUCCUCGUCACCAUCAUCGGGAUGCAACAGCGCAUCUGGCCGAAGGAGAGUGUGGCGGCUGUGUCUCCUAGCAAUGGCAGUGGGGACGGGUUGAUGAGGAGGCGACAACUCGAGAGGUAGGCAAGAGGAACACAACCCCCAGUUGAGGAGGAGCCGCUCGGCACAGAUGUAGCUAGGGUUUGGGUGGGGGUUGGUUCCUACACCGAUGACGGCAUUUGCCAGCAGCAGCACAUCCCUCGACUUCCGUAACCUCAGUUGCAGCUUGUCCCUGCACCCUUCUCUGGUCCUAGAUAAAACUGUCAUCUUGCUUCAGAUUCAAGUGGUUCUUCCAAGUUGAAUAAUGAGUGGCCUCUGCUUUUUUCGUCGUCGUCCAUCGGUCCAACCUGUUGUUGUUCGCUCCGUCGGCUUGUAGUUGCUUAUGGAGCGUGCUGCGGAUUCGUUGUGCCUCCUUCAAAUAUAAGUUCUCUUUGCUUCCACUGCCUUUGCAUAUGCAUUUCUGAUAUUUUAAUUUAUAGAGUCCAGAGGAGAAGUGUGAAAUAGAUAAGAGUUUGUGCUAAGAAGUUCCUGACUAAUUCAUGCUGUAUUGGCCAUGGCUACAUGUUUGUUAGUCAUUUGGCUGGGUCAAGCUUAUGUAGCGAAUAUUUCCUUAAUGAAUGAUAUGGUGAUAGGAAAUAGUAAGUGU
This is a long non-coding RNA of Triticum aestivum (bread wheat), 720 nucleotides long. RefSeq lists it as uncharacterized. The record is from RefSeq and is a predicted model, not a curated record. The transcript is spliced from 3 exons. Lineage: Eukaryota; Viridiplantae; Streptophyta; Magnoliopsida; Poales; Poaceae.